AUGAUGUUGUUGCUUUAUAUUUUAAAAGGAUUUUUGUUUAUUCAUGUAUUAAAUCUAACUGUGAAAAUCAAACAAUUUUGACCUGAACUCAGUCGAGAGCACCCGCUGAACUUAAGCAUAUCAGUAAGCGGAGGAAAAGAAACUAAAUAGGAUUCCCUUAGUAACGGCGAGUGAAA
This 176-nucleotide ribosomal RNA is filed under the name Meloidogyne incognita (southern root-knot nematode). RNAcentral's name for it is "partial 28S ribosomal RNA". The stretch from base 79 to 176 matches the Rfam family "Eukaryotic large subunit ribosomal RNA", at positions 1 to 98 of the family's 3401-position model. Lineage: Eukaryota; Metazoa; Nematoda; Chromadorea; Rhabditida; Meloidogynidae. The record is from RNAcentral.